This 92-nucleotide ribosomal RNA is filed under the name Prevotellaceae bacterium. Its description in RNAcentral is "partial 16S ribosomal RNA". It matches the Rfam family "Bacterial small subunit ribosomal RNA", at positions 1 to 90 of the family's 1533-position model. Lineage: Bacteria; Pseudomonadati; Bacteroidota; Bacteroidia; Bacteroidales; Prevotellaceae. The record is from RNAcentral.
ACAAUGAAGAGUUUGAUCCUGGCUCAGGAUGAACGCUAGCGGCAGGCUUAACACAUGCAAGUCGAGGGGCAGCACGGGUAGCAAUACUUGGU